CUGUCUCUCUCUCUCUCUCUCUCUCAAAAUUCUAGAUCUGAUUACUCUCUAGGUUCAAAUCCUCCCUUCUUCUUCAGGUUUUUUUUAAUGAUGCUGAGAUUUUAGUAGAGAUAUGGAAAAUCUGGUGGGAUUCAUCUGCCGUCGAUUUGAGCUUUAGCUGAGUACAAGACUAGAUCAUCGAGUAAUAUUAAUUAUAUAGGCUUCAAUCCCACUGCCUUUGACGGCGACGAUACAUCAGAUUGUUGAAUGGAACCAAGAAUCUGUUGCUGUUUUUAAGUUAGAUGGGGUUUUCAGGGAUGUUGCAUUCAUGGUGUUCGAUAGGAAAAGGCACGGUUAGCGUCGGCACCACCUUAUCUGUCUCUAGCACCAAAAUCUAAAAACUUGAGUACCACGCCGCGGUUACCGGAUUGAGUUUUGCAUCAGAAUCUUCAACGGAACCGAUAGAACUUUUGAUAUGCCCAGCUCAAGCUAUCACUAUUGAAGCUGUGGAACGAGAGGAUGGGAGCCGUAGAACGAGGUAUGAUAUUGACAUGACAAAGUGUAUUUAUUGUGGGAUUUGCCAAGAGGCAUGUCCAGUUGAUGCAAUUGUUGAAGGGCCCAACUUUGAGUUUGCUACUGAGACUCAUGAGGAGCUUUUAUAUGACAAAGAGAAAUUGCUUGAAAAUGAGGACAGGUGGGAACCAAGAUAGCUGAGAAUCUAAGAUCAGAGAGCUUAUAUUGUUACCGGUUAAACAGUGUUUGCCUUUCAUAAUGUUGUUAUUAGAAUAAACUGAAGGCGAUUCUGCAAUGUGUUUUGAUCAUGCCCUACUUCUUGCAGCCUACUCGCAUGUGAAGGGGCAUGAACGAGGCAACUUGAACGUGACGUGCGUGCUUAAGCUGAAUUGUGAGGAGGGCAAAUGAUGAUGAUUGCAACUAAACAUGGCAGAUGGUGGUCGGGCUUCUAAAGUGGCCUCAAGGGACUCUUUGCAUCCAAGAUUAGUGUUGGAUUGUAAUUAUUUAUUAUACAUGUAAGCAUUUUAGUUAUUUUUAUUGUAG
This 1035-nucleotide long non-coding RNA is filed under the name Helianthus annuus (common sunflower). Lineage: Eukaryota; Viridiplantae; Streptophyta; Magnoliopsida; Asterales; Asteraceae. The record is from RNAcentral.